UUUCUAUCAUCUCAAACCAGUCUGUCCAUUCUCCACUGACCUCUAACAUCAAUAAGGCUUUUUCAUCCACACAACUUGAGCACACUGGAAAUGUUCUCUUUUUUGGACCAUUCUCUGUAAACCCUGGAGAUGGUUGUGGGUGAAAAUCCUAGUAAAUCAGCCGUUUCUGAAACACUUAGACCAGUCUGGCACCAACAACCAUGCCACAUUCAAAGUCUCUUAAAUCUCCUUUCUCCCCCACUCUGAUACUCAGUUUGAACUUCAGGAAGUCAUCUUGACCACGUCUAUAUGUCUACAUGCACUGAGUUGCUGAUUAGUGAUGUGUGUUAACGAGCGACUGAACAGGUGUACCUAAUUAAGGGGCAGGUGGGUAUGUGCUAUGUUUAAAUUUAGUGCUGUUUUUAAAAAAAGGGAGGAGGAGAGCACGCUUGCCAUCGUGUUGCAUCACCUCUUUUUUAACAACGUUCUGUAAACACUUGGAGACCGGGGGACAAGUUUCUCAAGUCUUAAUAGAGUCCCAUUUUAGCCUGAUUCCGGCUCAACGGUCCAGGGUCUCAUUGUUUUUUUUGUCUCAUGAUGCCCCAAAUGUUUUAUGACUGCAGGCAGGCCACAUAAGCUCCCUUAUGCUUCAACUAGGAAGCUGCAUUUUGAUAUGUGCAGAAUGACAUUUAACAUUGUCUUCCUGAAAUAUGCAGGAUCCAUCCAGGGAAAAGACAUUGUUUGCAGCAUAUAUUGUGAGCUAACCUUGUCAUUGGCCUUUGUGAAUGGUAUGCUGAUAACAAAGAGUGUAGUAGUGUACAGUGUAGUUUCUUUUCUACACCUUCUUUCUGUUUAUUUUUUGCUUUUUAGCUCUGCAAACCCAAUCCUUUAUUUAUUCAAAAGGUGUUGGCCUUUACUUUUGAGCAUGUCCAGUACUUUUAGUUCCAAAUCUCUUGUUUUUGCGUGUUUUACUUUUUAUCUUAUGGUCUUUAAUUCGCUGCUCCAAAUCCCUCGCACACAGUCACAUCAGAUAUGCCACCCCUAGGUCAUGAAAUUUCUAACCCCUUGAUUCAAUUUCCCUAUUUCUUUGUAAGUUUUUGGAUAUCAUUUAAGUGUUCUGGAUUUUUUUUUUUACACCCUACCAAUGCAACUGGAGUUCAACUCAUUUUCUCUUUCUGGUCGUGAUUUUUGUAGAAUGUAUUAUUUCUAUUGAUUCGCUUUGUUCUCAAAACUUUGACCAGAAGUGUUCCUGUGAACUAAAAAUGAUUAUUUCUUGCUUCGCCUUUAGUUUUGGAAAAAAAAAAAAAAAAUUCUUCAUUAAAUUUUAAAAUUUACAUGCUAUGGAAAAAAGAAAGUCCAUCUUCUCUUCUGAGCAAAGACAUGGCAUCCAUUAAUUCCAAAAAGAAAGUCAUAAUUUGAUUUAUCAAACCACAGGGCAGUUUUUCACUUCACCUUCAUCUUUAACAUGCCUGGGCCUCAGGCAGUCAGUGUUUGUGGAUCAUGCUUACAUAUUGUUUUCCUUAUGGUACAGUUUAAACCCUUUUUUUGUGGAUACAACAACAAACUCCACUUGCAAACAGUGGUUUAUGGAAGUAAUUUUCAGCCCAUGCAGUAAUUUCAACCACACAGUUGCGUCUGUUUUUCAUGCAGUGCUUCCUGAGAGCUUGAAGAUCACAGCCAUCCAGUUUUAUUUUUCCAGCCUUGCCUCUUUUUGCACAAUGAUUUUUCAAGAUGCUUUGACUCUUCUGAUGAUAUUCUGAUUGAUGAUGUUUUUCCCAAAUUCUUUGCAGGCUUGUGUAACAGAUUACCAUUUGAGAACCAAAACAUUUGUUUUAGACUUUAAACCUCACUGUUUUAAGCCUGCCUGUGCUUUUGAGAGCCUUGAGGCAUACUGUGGUGACGUGGGUCAACGUAUGAUAAAUCUUAGUAAAUUAUGAUCUGCAGCCACAAAAUCCUAAAAAAUGUUUUUUAUUGUUACCUUUUAAGUAGACAAACUUUUAGAUGGUGAAAUAUAUUGAACCUUUCUAAUCUGUUUUUCAGAGUUUUACAUCUGUUACUAUAAGUUUUGCAUGAGUUAGUCACAAACCUAAAAGCUUAUGUAGGCUUCACUUGUUAGCUCUCUUGCAACAUAAAAGGCUCGGCUGUGUUUGUCUGAUGUGUUUUGUCUCUUCUGCACAAACACACACACAUAAACACACAAAUGUUUUUUUCUUUUUUUACAGUAUGGACAAACUUUUAUGAAGGUGAAAUAUUCUGCUGUUCUAAUCUGUUUGUAAAUCAGCAGCUUUUACAUCUGUUACUAUUUGUGUUUGUAAAUGGUUGAAGAGUAUCUCUGAGAUGAGCAGAAAAUGAAGCAUAGCGUUAGUUCAGGCAGGUCAUGGAGUCAAGCCAAAGGCUACAGUCAGCUGAUCUUAAGCCAGCCCUCAGUCAGCUGACAGCUCAGGUAAUCACUCUGUACACAUCAAAAUCGCGCCCUAUUUAAACUGCUUCUCCUGCCUACUCUGCCUGCUGCAACCAGUCUGCAACCCACCUCCACCCCAGCUCCCUCUGUUUAUGUUGCGUCUGAUCUUACCAGUGUCACUGAUGUAUUGUCACUGAUGCUUGCUCUGUACUGUGUGGGGAUUUUAAUUUAUUUAUCUUAAUUGUAUUUAUUUGCUGCUGCUUUCUCUGCCUUGGCUUUUCAUAUAUACACAUGAAAGGGAGGUUAUAGCCGAGGCAUUCCAUGCAAGCGCAUGGAAGGGCAGGGAACUCUCAGAACAGAGCCAUACCGCCAAUUUAAAAAUGUUUGCUUUUAAUAAAUAAUUAAUUUUGACUAAAGUGGUCCUGACUUAACUAACUUUUUUUGUUGGAGUUAGGUUAUCUAAUAAUUUCAAAUAUAAAUAUUUUUUCAGUGUUUUUAAGUUUUAUUUGUACCUCUAUUUGUUUUACAAUAUUUGGUUAAACAUUGGUUUUCUUGAACAUUUUACAUACAGUAUGUAUGACUGGAUGCAAGAACCAUGAUGCACAAAGACACACAACUCAUGUAUGUCUUUCCUUUUUUGCAUAGUGCACAGGAAAGACCCAGUGGUCCCAAAUCCUAAGUCACUGUUCUGCACCAGAAUACUACCAGUUAUUUUACACUGAAAAACAGUCUCUCAAUUUAUUUUUUAUUGAUAAAAUUCAGGAGAAAAAGUUAAUAUCUUACAAACUGUAUUAAAUGCACAUCAGAGUAAAGGAAUGAUGCUUCGCUUCGCUUCAAGGUAGUGUAUAAAAUAUUUUCAUAUGGAGGACUUCAAACCACCUUUAGAUCCUGUAUAUGGCACAAAGCCAAUUCGCCCUCCAGGUAUUGAUUAACACUCCUCUGAUCAUUUUUAAUCAGAGAUGAUGUGUGCCAUUAAUGAAGAGGGUUAGAUCAAUUACCUGUGAGUCUGUGUAUGAUAAAAGGCUAUCUGAUUCAUGAAACUCAAAUAGAACUGCAAGGUGAAUCAUGUCACGGUCACUCUCGGAGGUGAGCUGCCUCCGCUUCUUUUUCUGACUCUGCUUUGAUUUAAGCUUUAGUGGAAUCAAGCAGAGGUGGAAGACGGUGUUCACUUCAUGCUUGUGCUUUCAUUACAGCGGCUCAUGGUAGUGACCAUUCUCUGUAACUUUUUUUUAAACUUGUUAUUUCUGACUCUUUGUCCCUCCAUCCCCCAAUCUGUCAACCCGGGAUCGAUCAGUGACAGGUGUUACAGCUGUUUGUCAUCUCUUAUUGAUGUCUCCUCGCAAUGGCACUGUGCAGAAGAAGGAUAUCUCAUUUGGCAAGUGUGUGCGCCAUAAAUAACCUCAUCGCUGAAUUCCUGAAAAUUCACCUUUAUUCAGCCAGCAUGUUUGAUAUAUAGGAAGUCAUUCUUUUUCCAGCAUCUUCAGUCUUUGAACUAGUGCUCACUGUUUCAGGAACAGCUCCUGCUGGAUUUUAUACAAGUCUCCAGGCUGUGUGUGCGUUCAAGGCUGCGGAUGACUAGAUGUGUCACAUUUCCUGCCUGUCUCUCUUUCUGCAGAGCUGAUUUCCUCGUGAAAAAUAUAGAUGACAAUAGGUUCCAUGGGUUUGCUAGACUACACUCGUCCACACACACAGUCUGAGUCAUUGUAAUCACGCAGUGGGAGAGUGUUAGCGGCUACUUUUUUCAAAACGGUUCCUGCCUGAACCUCAUAAGGUGUGAAACAAGUGUCUGGCACACUGCUAGGUUGUGUUAAUUAGCAGGUUCCCUCAAAGUAUGGUCAACCUCAUGAUUAAAACUACAGGUAUCUGCCCUGAAUUUAGGUUUGCAGAUUGACCUUUUCUCAGUCUGUAUCUUCUCCUAAUGAAGGUAUAAAAAUAUAUUUUUCUUCCUUCACAGUCAGGAUCAUUGAUCCAAUGAACUUGUGGAGAGGACUUUCUGGACUGCAAAGACUUUGAUGUAACUGUUCACAAACUGUGUAGACAGUAUCACGCCCAGAGUGGCUAAUUGGGAGAAGCCAGACUUUUCCUGGUGGGCCAAGCUGGUUGCAGGUUUACAGCAACAGUAUCAUACUUGUGAGGGGAGGGUGUGAGUAAUCUGUCCAGUAUUUGAGUUUUACUUGACAGUAGACAGUAGGCUAUGUUUAGUUGGGGAAUGAGAUGUGAGACAAGGAGCAGGGUUAAAAAUAAAUAACAGAAAGAAUGUACUUCGUUUUCGUCUUUGGCACACAGAAAUAUACCCUGAAGCAGCGCCAGGAGUUAGAUUUACUUUUAAAGAACUUGCAUGAGGUCUUUCUCAUGCUUGUUCACCUGCAAACUAUUAAUUGCCUAACUGACACUUGGGUAAAGCAACUGCUGCUCUUCAAAUAUUGUUCCAUUCAUAUUUUGGUAUAUAGUGAGGAGAAAAAUUUAAGUGAUGAUGAUCUGGAUGGAUGGAUUGUUUGUUCACAUGUUCGAUCUGAACAAACAACUUUAAAAGGGAAAAAGAGCUGUGGUCUCCAUUGACACACAGUUAUCUAACUUUUACCUGUGAGUUGAGUCUCUGUUUUUCAGUGUAGUCCCUCUAAUCUUUCAGCAGAGCCUUCUGUUCAGUGAGAAUCCUCCUGCACCAUUCACUUAAAUAACAUACUCAGGGCAAGAUGCACUAACAAGCAGGGGCGUGUCCAGAGCUUUUUGGCUGGGGUGGCCCAACCUCAGCACUGAGACUGCAAGUAUGGUAUGAGGUUUGUGGGCUCAUUUACAAAUAAAUAGUGUGUAUGGUAGCAUCUGUAUUGUUGUACUGGCCAUAUAGUAAAUUUCUACAUGUCUUAUCUCUGAUAGGGCAAAUAGCCAAAAGAGAUGAUGUUUUAUUUAUUUAUUUAUUUAUUUCUCUAUUUUCUAUACAAUGUUCAAUGCUUGGGGGAUCUUGCCUCUAAAAACUGCCACAUGUUAUGAAAAAAAAAUUAAAAGUAAUACAAACUAAACCAAAAGCAUAUAAAAUAGUAAUUGAAACUAGAAAUCCAUAAAAAAAAAGAAAAAAGGAAAGAUAAAAAAAAAAAUAGUUCUGCAAUAUAUUGCAAUCAAAAAACAAAAAGCUAAAAAGAAAUGACAAUGAAACUAAUGACACUUUAAAAAACUGUGAGUUUAACUAAAAGAUGAAAUUGGUCCCACAUAUAUGACACAUCAAAAUAAUAAUAAUAAUAAUAAUAAUAAUAAUAAUAAUAAUAAUAAUAACGACACAGUCUUCAGUUAGAAUGAUCCAUAUGGGUAUAAGCAGGACACAGAAUAAUGAUAGUGUGCAUAAUUAAUAUAUCUUGUAGAGGUAUUUUUUUCAAACUUGGAACACACAAUAAUAUAAGAGUUUUUACAGAACACAGACAGCUGUUACAGCUGACUGACAGCUGAUUAAGUGGUGCUCAGCUGAUGACAGCAUUACAAACAAGGCUGCUUUAUGUGACCCUUUGUAAAAGAGAUGUCUCAUAGCACUCAUCACAAAUGUCCUCCUUCACUCUCUCCUUCCUUUGUUUUCCUGCAUCUCUUAAUGUGUCUCUGGUGGGCGGGGCUAAAAUGCAAGCGCACUGCACAAGUGAGGGAUGCAAAUGUGAAACUUAAGAGCUUAAUGUAGCCAUUGAUGAAUGCCUGGUCCUUGUAAGUGUAAAGAUCAUCCCAGCUUUUUUCUCAUUAGCCCAGAAAACACCCCUUUAAUGCUUAAACAAGGGAAUGAGACCACAAGGCUGUCUGCACUUACUUAAAAUCACGCAGGAUCAAAAGGAGUAGAGGGACCUCAGGAAUGCACAAACGUAAUUCCAGCACAAUGUCACACUGGACCCAAAAUAGUUUCCCGGUUUUGUGAGAGGUGAUGCUGCUGGGAGUAAGAUGCAGCUGAGCUUGUUUAUUUUAUGAAUCUAUUUUGCAGCACAAAGUACUCCUAGAACAAGUUUUGAAAAUGGAAACAUUUGAUGAUUUUGUGAAGGCUGUGGACAGAGAGAGGAAAAAUUGCCGGAGAUGUAAGAGAAACUCUGACCUUAAUAGAAUUUAAUGUUACAUUUAUUCUAAAUGCUCGAAUAAGAUGGAUUGAAUAUUUAAAUACCUGUGCAAAGGCAGGCUAUUCUUACUGUGAGUAAGAGUUUUCAUUUUAACAAACUGGUGAAAUCCUAUGUCGAAGAUACAAAACCCAAUUCCAUUGAAGAUAGGAAAUUGUGAUAAACCUAAAUAAAAAAUAAAUAUAAUGAUUUGCAAAUCCUUUUCAACCUAUAUUCAAUUGAGUACACUACAAAGACAAGAUAUUAAGGUUCAAACUCAUAAACUUUAUUUAUUUAUUUUUUUUAAAUACUAAUUAACUCAGAAUUUCAUCGCUGCAAAAAAGUUGGGACAGGGGCAUGUUUACCACUGUGAUACAUCACCCUUCCUUUUAACAGCGCUCAAUACACGUUUGGGAACUGAGGAGACAAAUUGUUGAAGCUUUGAAGGUGGAAUUCUUUCCUAUUCUUGUUUGAUGUACAGCUUCAGUUGUUCAACAGU
Non-coding RNA from Xyrichtys novacula (pearly razorfish), 6934 nucleotides. The record is from the annotation of a GenBank genome assembly. NCBI's taxonomy places the organism in Eukaryota, Metazoa, Chordata, Actinopteri, Labriformes, Labridae.